UACGUAGGGCGCAAGCGUUAUCCGGAAUUAUUGGGCGUAAAGAGCUCGUAGGCGGUUUGUCGCGUCUGCCGUGAAAGUCCGGGGCUCAACCCCGGAUCUGCGGUGGGUACGGGCAGACUAGAGUGAUGUAGGGGAGACUGGAAUUCCUGGUGUAGCGGUGAAAUGCGCAGAUAUCAGGAGGAACACCGAUGGCGAAGGCAGGUCUCUGGGCCGUAACUGACGCUGAGGAGCGAAAGCGUGGGGAGCGAACAGG
RNAcentral lists this ribosomal RNA (253 nucleotides) under uncultured bacterium. Its description in RNAcentral is "partial 16S ribosomal RNA". It matches the Rfam family "Bacterial small subunit ribosomal RNA", at positions 524 to 776 of the family's 1533-position model. The record is from RNAcentral.